RNAcentral lists this unclassified non-coding RNA (232 nucleotides) under uncultured fungus. RNAcentral's name for it is "sequence contains ITS2". The record is from RNAcentral. Lineage: Eukaryota; Fungi.
AACGCACAUUGCGCCUUUUGGUAUUCCAGGAGGCAUACCUGUUCGAGCGCUGGUAACAAUUCAAGCUCUGCUUGGUGUUGAUUGCAGUCGGAAUGACUCAACUCAAAACUCUUUGGCGCUUUUGUCGGUUUGCAAACGGCUUGACAAGUCAUUUUGCGGUUUGGAUACUGACAAGGCUGCCUGUUUUUUGCAACAUGGCCUCGAAUCAGGUAAGGCUACCCGCUGAACUUAA